RNAcentral lists this transfer RNA (71 nucleotides) under Escherichia coli. Its description in RNAcentral is "tRNA-Lys". It matches the Rfam family "tRNA". Rfam says of the family: Transfer RNA (tRNA) molecules are approximately 80 nucleotides in length. Their secondary structure includes four short double-helical elements and three loops (D, anti-codon, and T loops). Further hydrogen bonds mediate the characteristic L-shaped molecular structure. tRNAs have two regions of fundamental functional importance: the anti-codon, which is responsible for specific mRNA codon recognition, and the 3' end, to which the tRNAs corresponding amino acid is attached (by aminoacyl-tRNA synthetases). tRNAs cope with the degeneracy of the genetic code in two manners: having more than one tRNA (with a specific anti-codon) for a particular amino acid; and 'wobble' base-pairing, i.e. permitting non-standard base-pairing at the 3rd anti-codon position. The record is from RNAcentral. Lineage: Bacteria; Pseudomonadati; Pseudomonadota; Gammaproteobacteria; Enterobacterales; Enterobacteriaceae.
GUCGUUAGCUCAGUUGGUAGAGCAGUUGACUUUUAAUCAAUUGGUCGCAGGUUCGAAUCCUGCACGUGACG